UACGUAGGGGCCGAGCGUUGUCCGGAGUUAUUGGGCGUAAAGCGCGCGCAGGCGGCCUCGCGCGCCCGACGUGAAAGCCCCCGGCUUAACCGGGGAGGGUCGUUGGGGACGGCGGGGCUUGAGGGCGGGAGAGGGCGGUGGAAUUCCCGGUGUAGUGGUGAAAUGCGUAGAGAUCGGGAGGAACACCUGUGGCGAAGGCGGCCGUCUGGGCCGACCCUGACGCUGAGGCGCGAAAGCUAGGGGAGCAAACGGG
Molecule: ribosomal RNA, 253 nt
Filed under: uncultured bacterium
Lineage: Bacteria
Description: partial 16S ribosomal RNA
Rfam family: Bacterial small subunit ribosomal RNA
Source: RNAcentral